GAUGAACGCUGGCGGCGUGCCUAAUACAUGCAAGUCGAGCGAACAGACGAGGAGCUUGCUCCUCUGACGUUAGCGGCGGACAGGUGAGUAACACGUGGAUAACCUACCUAUAAGACUGGGAUAACUUCGGGAAACCGGAGCUAAUACCGGAUAACAUGUUGAACCGCAUGGUUUAACAGUGAAAGACGGUCUUGCUGUCACUUAUAGAUGGAUCCGCGCCGCAUUAGCUAGUUGGUAAGGUAACGGCUUACCAAGGCAACGAUGCGUAGCCGACCUGAGAGGGUGAUCGGCCACACGGGAACUGAGACACGGUCCAGACUCCUACGGGAGGCAGCAGUAGGGAAUCUUCCGCAAUGGGCGAAAGCCUGACGGAGCAACGCCGCGUGAGUGAAGAAGGUCUUCGGAUCGUAAAACUCUGUUAUUAGGGAAGAACAAAUGUGUAGGUAACUAUGCACGUCUUGACGGUACCUAAUCAGAAAGCCACGGCUAACUACGUG
Molecule: ribosomal RNA, 497 nt
Filed under: uncultured bacterium
Lineage: Bacteria
Description: partial 16S ribosomal RNA
Rfam family: Bacterial small subunit ribosomal RNA
Source: RNAcentral